UAGGGAAUAUUGGGCAAUGGAGGGAACUCUGACCCAGCCAUGCCGCGUGCAGGAUGAAGGCGUUAUGCGUUGUAAACUGCUUUUACAUAGGAAGAAAUAGUCCUUGCGAGGAAAGUUGACGGUACUAUAUGAAUAAGCACCGGCUAACUCCGUGCCAGCAGCCGCGGUAAUACGGAGGGUGCAAGCGUUGUCCGGAUUUAUUGGGUUUAAAGGGUGCGUAGGCGGUUUAUUAAGUCAGUGGUGAAAGACGGUCGCUCAACGAUUGCAGUGCCAUUGAUACUGGUAGACUUGAGUAUGAUUGAGGUAGCUGGAAUGGAUAGUGUAGCGGUGAAAUGCAUAGAUAUUAUCCAGAACACCAAUUGCGUAGGCAAGUUACUAAGUCAUAACUGACGCUGAGGCACGAAAGUGUGGGUAUCAAACAGGAUUAGAUACCCCGGUAGUCCCUGAGCGGGCUGGCAAGGCGCAU
This 466-nucleotide ribosomal RNA is filed under the name uncultured bacterium. Its description in RNAcentral is "bacterial SSU rRNA". It matches the Rfam family "Bacterial small subunit ribosomal RNA", at positions 355 to 825 of the family's 1533-position model. The record is from RNAcentral.